RNAcentral lists this ribosomal RNA (300 nucleotides) under Triticum aestivum (bread wheat). RNAcentral's name for it is "partial small subunit ribosomal RNA". Lineage: Eukaryota; Viridiplantae; Streptophyta; Magnoliopsida; Poales; Poaceae. The record is from RNAcentral.
AUGUUUUCCUCGCAGUCCGCCAGCCGCAUCAACAACAUAUGAACCUCCCUCAUCAACGCAUAGAAGGGCAACCUCUCCGUCGCCUCCUACUUCGCCGCCAUGCGCAGCUACGCCGACGAGCUAGCAGUCGCGGGCAAGGCGAUCCCUGACGACGAACUUGCCUCCUACAUCAUCCACGGGCUCGACGCCGACUAUCAGCCCCUAGUCUCUGCCCUAGACACUCGCGUGACCCACGUAACCCUUGAUGAGCUCUUUGCCAUGUUAUCCAAUUUCGAUCAGCGCAUGGCCCAGUUCCAAGGA